This 908-nucleotide non-coding RNA is filed under the name Abraliopsis sp. 2 FFA-2023. RNAcentral's name for it is "12S ribosomal RNA". The stretch from base 454 to 901 matches the Rfam family "Microsporidia small subunit ribosomal RNA", at positions 752 to 1303 of the family's 1311-position model. The record is from RNAcentral. Lineage: Eukaryota; Metazoa; Mollusca; Cephalopoda; Oegopsida; Enoploteuthidae.
UAUUAAUUUGGCUUUGGUUAUUAUAUAAAUUAUUACUAGGUAUAUACAUGUUAGGUUUAAUGAAAAUCGAUUUGUCUAAGAGCUUAUAUUAAAAAGGUUAAAAAUAUUUUUAAUAGAGGUAUUAUUGUUAGUAUUUGACUAAGAUAAUAAUAUAAGGCUACGCAGUAUUUAUAUUUAUACAAUGAAUGAGAGUUUGAUAUAGUUAUUGUAUUAAAAAGCGGUUAAAUUGGUGCCAGCAGCUGCGGUUAUACCAAUGGCUUUAAAUUUAUAUUAAGAUAGUAUAAAAUAAAGUAUUAAUUAUAAUAUUAGUUAGAAUUAAUGAGAGAAGUAAUUGUGGGUAAAAUUUAAAUUAUUUCUAUUAAUUAUAUUAUUCUAAAAAAAUUCUUUGAAAAUAAGAAUUCAAAACUAGGAUUAGAGACCCUACUAUUCUUUAUUUUAAAAAUUUUUUUACUUAGGUAGUACGGACAGGGUAAUUAUAUAAUUUCUUAUGGUUGUUUAAAACUUAAAAGGCUUGGCGGUGUUAUAUAUCCUCCCAGGGGAGCUUGCUUGUUAAUUUGAUAAUCCUCAAUUUAUACUUACUUUUUCUUGAAUUAUAACAGUUUGUGUAUUGCUGUCGUCAGUUUAUUUUGUAAAAAUUUUGUAAAAAACUUAAUAACAUGUGAGUUAUAAUGUCAAGUCAAAAUGCAGCUAAUGAAAAAGGCUAUAGUGAGCUACAAUUUGUAAUGUUUAUAUCAAAUUAAGUUGUGUAAUCAAUUUAUGAAGGUGGACUUGGUAGUAAUAAAGACUAAAUAAAUAGUGAGUCUUAGUGAAUUAGGUUUUAUAACGUGUACAUAUCGCCCGUCGCUCUUGUUGGGAAAUAAGAUAAGUCGUAACACAGUAGGAGUAGUGGAAGCUGUUCCUGGUAUGAU